GUGGGGGCUCAGGUUGUAGCGCCUUUACCUGUCUGCCCUUGCGAGGCAGAGACCCAGACGAGGAUCGACAUCACUCUGACAGCGCUGACGCAGCCGACCAGAGCAGGUUGAACAUAUCAGCAACAUGGCAGAAGAGGUUGACAGGAACAAGGUGUUUGAAACCACCAGGGUGAAGACUUCACUUAAGAACGAUGUCAGUUGGAUCCAGGGAUCAAAACAAGGACAUAAAGAGCAAGACAGUGCAAGGACAGCCCAGGCUGUGGAGACUAAACCCGCCUCAGUCAAAGAGAAGUCAUAUGUCCUGCUCACAGCCAAGAAAUUUGAAUCAGUCAACCCUCCACCGAGCCCUCCUCUGCAAAACACGGAGUUUAUUCUAUCUGAAGGCGAUUCAGCUAAUCAGGAAAAUUGUGAAGUUGUUCCUCCUCACAAAGAUGCUCAGCCUGAGGGGUCAACAGUGGAGACCACAGACGAUGCCAGGUCCCAAGCAGUCACAGAGAAACCUAUCCAAAACGGCGAUGCACAACCAGACACAUCUGUGGAGAACACAACUGCAGAAAACAAGGAAGAAAAUGCCGAUACAGCAGUUAAGCUGUCAAAUGUAGAACAGAAUGAGGGGGCCGCUGAGGUCUCUGCAGAUGUCCAUGUAGAAGAACAGAUCCAAAAUGGUGAGGCACAACCAGACACAUCUGUGGAGAACACAACUGCAGAAAACAAGGAAGAAAAUGCCGAUACAGCAGUUGAGCUGUCAAAUGUAGAACAGAAUGAGGGGGCCGCUGAGGUCUCUGCAGAUGUCCAUGUAGACGAACAGAUCCAAAAUGGUGAGGCACAACCAGACACAUCUGUGGAGAACACAACUGCAGAAAACAAGGAAGAAAAUGCCGAUACAGCAGUUGAGCUGUCAAAUGUAGAACAGAAUGAGGGGGCCGCUGAGGUCUCUGCAGAUGUCCAUGUAGACGAACAGAUCCAAAAUGGUGAGGCACAACCAGACACAUCUGUGGAGAACACAACUGCAGAAAACAAGGAGGAAAAUGCUGAUACAACAAUUGAGCUGUCGAACGCAGGACUGAGUGAGGGGACCGCGGAGGUCUCUGCAGAUGUCCAUGUAGACGAACAGAUCCAAAAUGGUGAGGCACAACCAGACACAUCUGUGGAGAACACAUCUGUAGAAAACAAGGAGGAAAAUGCUGAUACAACAAUUGAGCUGUCGAACGCAGGACUGAGUGAGGGGACCGCGGAGGUCUCUGCAGAUGUCCAUGUAGAGGAACAUGUCCAACAUGGCGAGGCACAACCAGUUUCUUCAUCAAAGGAAGAACCAGAAUCAGUGUCACCUGCGGAGCCGACUGAGCAACAGCUUGUCAACACAACAUCAGAAAUCAAGGGAGAAUAUGCCAAUACAGCAGCUGAUGAGUCAUAUGUAGAACAAAAUGAGGUCAAAGUCUCUGCAGAUGCUCGCGUGGAAGAUGCUUUUGCAGAAACCUCAGCUGCAGCAGGCACAGGGGAGAAUAAAGACAGUGCUGUGGUCCCUGCUGUGCUUUUAGGUGAACCGAAAAUUGAAGACCAACCUUCAGCGGAAACAGAGCCAGCAAACGCAACAAAUGUGGAGAACGCAGGAGUCGAAUCAACUGUAGAACCUGCGGAGGGGAGUAGUGAGACAUGUCCUCCAAAAGAGGCAGCAGGAGAAAUAGUUAAAGCUAUAUAUGUGGCUGUGGAGGAGUCAUCACCUGACGAGAGUGAUGUGAUUAAUACAGCGUCAGGAGGAGAGGCUGUUCCUCAAGACAGUGUGGACACAGUCCCCGACGUAGUGGCAAGUCGUGUAUCUGAAUCGCCCACUCAUCCUGCUGCCGAAGCUGCUACAGACAGGGGUUGUGAGACAGGUCCUUCUGCAGAUACUGCUGAAGCUGCAAUUGAGGUUAAGGUGGAGUCAUUGCCUGCGCCACUGGCUCCGGCCAACGCGGCAGGAGACGAAGCUGCUCCCCAGGACACUGUGAAAGCAGUCCCUGACUUAGUGGCAGACACUGAGUCCAAAUCGCCCACUCAACCCGCUGCUGAGGCUGCAGUCGAGUCUGUAGACAGCCAGGUUGUGUCUGCCGCCUCAGCGGAGCCAAUUUUACAGACCAGAGCUGACGAGGUUGUUAAGUGUGAAGUCCAGCCUGUCCAGAGCGCCGUUGUGGAGCAAAGUGCCCAGCCGGCGACUGACAAUGCAUCAGAUCAGGUGGUGGAGUUGAGCAUCAUGGAUGCGCUUGAGCCUGUAACAGCUCCAAAUGAUCAGUUCUCUUAUGACGCCAUGGAACUGACGGAUGCACUAGAUGUAGAUGUGAAGCCACCCACAAGUGACGCCGCCCCUGAACCUGCGAAAGAUCCAGAGCAAUCCCACACCGAGGAGAAGCCACCGAUCCAACAGUCUGAUCUUACCAACAUCUUUGAAAUGUCUCAAAAGUCUGAAGAGGAGCAACGACCCACACGGACGCUGAGUUUACCUAGGACAACCAAGGCUGUUUGUUCAUUCUGUGACAAAACCAUCGACGGAAACGUCAGGCUCAUAUUCAGCGAACCUCAGAUGAACUGCCACCCCGACUGUCUCAAGUGUGGCGUGUGUGCUAAGGCCCUGGGAGAUCUGCUGACCCCCAUGUUUCUGUGUAACCAAGUGAUCCAAUGUGAUGGCUGCUUUGCGAUAGCUCUCAAGACCUGA
Sparus aurata (gilthead seabream) is the source of this 2689-nucleotide long non-coding RNA. The record is from Ensembl. Lineage: Eukaryota; Metazoa; Chordata; Actinopteri; Spariformes; Sparidae.